AAUGAACGCUGGCGGCGUGCUUAACACAUGCAAGUCGCACGAGAACUCUUCUGCUUGCAGAAGAUAGUAAAGUGGCGCACGGGUGAGUAACGCGUGGGUAAUCUACCUCCGAAUUGGGGAUAACCCCGCGAAAGCGGGGCUAAUACCGGAUAAUAUCUUUUAUGUUUCGGCAUUUAAGAUCAAAGGUGGUCUCUACAUGUAAGCUACUGUUUGGAGAUGAGCCCGCGUGCCAUUAGCUUGUUGGUAGGGUAAUGGCCUACCAAGGCUACGAUGGCUAGCUGGUCUGAGAGGAUGAUCAGCCACACUGGAACUGACACACGGUCCAGACUCCUACGGGAGGCAGCAGUGAGGAAUUUUGCGCAAUGGGGGAAACCCUGACGCAGCAACGCCGCGUGAGUGAUGAAGGCUUUCGGGUCGUAAAGCUCUGUCAAGUGGGAAGAACAUGCUCGAUGUUAAUACCAUCGUGCACUGACGGUACCACUGAAGAAGCACCGCUAACU
RNAcentral lists this ribosomal RNA (500 nucleotides) under uncultured bacterium. RNAcentral's name for it is "bacterial SSU rRNA". It matches the Rfam family "Bacterial small subunit ribosomal RNA", at positions 29 to 502 of the family's 1533-position model. The record is from RNAcentral.